UCUCCUGUGUCCCGGUCUGAGGUCCUGCAGACUCUUGGGUACCUACCACCUCCGGCAUUCUAAAUUGCCUAUUAAUAAAAUGCUUUUCAUAUAAUUAAAAAUGUUUUAUUUUAGUGGCGUGGCUCUCGAUAUUGAAAAUGUUUCUCACACCAGCCAAUAACCCAUCGAUUUCUCACUCGCUAAUGAUAUUUGAAGGAAGUUUUAAAAAUUAUAUUAGCCACUUGUAGGCGGAAAAAAAGAAACCCUAUUCAUAUUGCAGUAUUAAUAGCUGCUAUGGGAGAAUCAUUCUGUUAAUUUAAUGUGCCUGUAAAUCCUGCCCCAGAUUGUUAGCUCUUCAUUUUCUGGGAUUAGAAGAGGAUUAAGUUACAGGCCAGGUAGGUAACCUGGAUAUAGCUUCACUGACGCUUUGAUGGGGACCUUUCUUUUUUUCCACUUUGGUAUUGCUGAAUCUCAGAUGGUGUGGAGAGAAAAAUCAUCACUGGGAAGUUCUUGCUUUAAAAAAAAAAUAACAAAAAAAUUAUCUCUGUGUGUGAGAAUAAAAGUGUGUGUCACGACACACUUUGGGGUGGUGAGGUGAAAGGGGAGCCUCAAGUGCCAGCCUUCACCUUCCACGUCCUUUGAGACAGGAAUUCUUGUUCUUCACUGCUGCGUAUACCAGGCUGGCUGGCCAGUGAGCUUCAGUGGCUUCUCCUUUGGCUUCCUCCCAUUUCCCCCUAAAAUGCUGGGAUUCCAGAGGUACACUCCCACAUCGAGUCUGAUGAAGGUCCUGAGGAUCCGAACUCGGGUCCUCACACCUGCAUGGCAAACACCCUGACCCAUCCGUUAACCACCCCCGCCACUCCCCCAGGUCCAUGCACUUGCUUUCUGGAAAAGUAGGUUUAUGAAGCUGAGCUCACAGCACAUUUUCCCUGGCUGUGCCUUAGAGGAUAAGACAAACCCUCCUCGGAGGCUUGGUGGCCCACGGGGUUCCCAGGAGCUGUCUGUGACGGGCGUGAUACACCCAGCUUGUCCUCGAGCUGAGGUUGUCAGUCGGACCAGAGAAGAAAAUUUCCACCUGUGUGUUCACUGGGCGGUUAAACAGUAACCCUGCUCUCCUGGCUCUCUAAGCACAGGCGAGCUCCCAGCCAAGGCCUGUAUAGCUUUCCUCACUCCAACUCUGCCUAUUAUCUUGACCUUAAAGUUUACGGGGUAAAAGAAACAUUUAUGGAACAGUUAAGGCCAGUUAGAACAUAACGACUCACCUCAUUAUCACACCCCACAAAUCUCCCCUUUACGGGGUUCCCUCCCCUGUCAGCUCCAACCACGAGCUUGGCCUGGGCACAGUUGCUGGGGCUCACACGUGGAAACACCAGGAACGUCUCAUUCCUGACUUCAAAUGUGCCAAAAACAAGAAUCCUUAAGAACUCAUAAAGUCAUUUAGCACCACAUUAAUAAUAGACGCAUGAUAUUGAAUUAUGUUGGUAAGUAUGUGUUUGAGCCGGUAACAAUUAUUUUUGGCUGGCAGUUCAGAUAUUUAAUCCACUUAAUAAAUAAACAGCGCCCGCAAAUCAACAAGUGAGAGUGGAAGGGGGGAGGGGCAAUGAUAAAAAUGUCAAAGGUCAUAUAAACAAAAAACAGUAUUUAGAAACAUUAAAGUUUGUAAUUAGAGAAGAGAUGACCAAGAACAAAAACUUUAUUGUACUUUUGAAGACAUGGAUUUUUCUUAUGACAAAGUAAAACACACAGUGGGUAGAGAAAAACUGUAGAAUUUAAGUGGACAGGGCCUUGAGACAUAGCUCAACUUGGUCUUAAGUUCAUACUCCUGCCUCAGCCUCCUGAGUGCUAGGAUUACAAGCAUGGGAUACCACACCCUGCUUCUGUGAAAUGUUUUAAAAAUGUUUCCUUUUUAGGAUGAUUAUAUAUAGAGACAUACCCGAGGGGAAUAAAACAACUUAAGGCAACUCAACUCAAUUUAACAGUUGAGUUCCAUUAUAGCAACCUCACAGGUAAAAUACCAUGCAUUUCACAAAAGCCCUAAGAAAGCCAUUGCAAGACAAGGGAGAUGUUAUGUUAAUUUUGUAUAUUGUUAUAAUGUGUGCGUGUGGAUGAGUGGACAUAUAUAACUUGAAGUUACCUGUUUGAUAUACAUACAUAUAUAAUGCAAAGUUAGCAUUUGGUGAAUCUGACAGCUGGUUCCAAAGGUCUUAGCCAGUUUUUAAGGCUUUGGGGGUACAGAUGAGAAUGAAACAAGCCUGUACUCCAGUGAGCUAGUUUUAUGUCACCUUGACACAAGCUAAAGUCAUCAAAGAGGAAGGAACCCCAGUUGAGAAAAUACCUCCGUAAGAUUGGGCUGUAUGGCAAACAUUUUCUUAAUUAGUGAUUGAUGUGGGCGGGCCCAGCCCAUUAUGGGUGGGGCCACCCCGGGCUGGUGGUCCUGAGUUCUAUAGGAAAACAGUCUGAGCAAUUGUGGAGUGCUGAUCCAAGGUUCCUUCUAGUUCUUUCCUGUCACCCAUUUCAGCCUUUUCCUCUAGUCUAUCUCCAUUCCUUUGUGCCUUCCCCAACCCCCACCCCAAACAUUCUCUACCUGAGAGCCCAUGCUUGGCACGAUCAUGAGUGAACAACAGCAACCAAAAAGUGGAAUAUCUCCCUAACAAAGAUGAGACUAGACAUAUAUGCUGAGGAGCACAUUAAUCAUCAGAACUCCAGAUGCCUAGAUCCCAGCCAAAAAACACAAUCUGGAACAGCCAAGACACUCUGCCUCCUCUAGAAACCAAUAGCCAUAGUGCCAUAGGCCCUGAGAAUUACAGUGUACCUGAAGCAUAAUGCAAGGACUUAACAAUAGCAAUUAUGAACAUGUUUAAGGACCUUAAAGAGGAUGUGAGUAUAUUCCUUACCAAAGGCUGAAAACCCAAACAGUUGAAUGAAAUGAGGCAAACAAUUCAAACAAAGAAAUAGACUCACUGAAGAAAACUCAAACUGAGUUAAAACUGGAAAUAAAAAACUCAGGAUGUCAAACAAAAACUUCAGAGAUAAGCCUCACCAACAGAUUAACAGACAAGGGAGAGAGAAUUUCAUGUCUCGAAGACAAAGUAAAAGAAAUAGAUUGCUCAGUCAAAGAAAAUGUUAAAUCUAAAAUUAUCCAGGCAUAAAACACGUAUAAAAUCUGGGGCACUAUGAAAAGACCAAAUCUAUGAGUAAUAGGUAUAGAGGAAGGAGAAUAUACUGAGGUCAAGGCACAGAAAAUAUUUUUAACAAAAUCCUAGAAGAAAAAAUUUUCCAAUGUAAAGAAAGAGGUGCUUGUCAAAGUACAAGAAGCAGAUAGAACACCAAAUAGACAGGACCAGG
RNAcentral lists this long non-coding RNA (3324 nucleotides) under Mus musculus (house mouse). RNAcentral describes it as "long non-coding RNA chr8:114567653-114570977". Lineage: Eukaryota; Metazoa; Chordata; Mammalia; Rodentia; Muridae. The record is from RNAcentral.